Molecule: ribosomal RNA, 332 nt
Filed under: uncultured bacterium
Lineage: Bacteria
Description: bacterial SSU rRNA
Rfam family: Bacterial small subunit ribosomal RNA
Source: RNAcentral
CGUGUAGGCGGAUUGGUGUGUCGGAUGUGAAAUCCCCAGGCUCAACCUGGGAACUGCAUUCGAAACUGCCAGUCUUGAGUGGUGGAGAGGGAAGUGGAAUUCCUGGUGUAGAGGUGAAAUUCGUAGAUAUCAGGAGGAACACCAGUGGCGAAGGCGGCUUCCUGGACACCAACUGACGCUGAGACGCGAAAGCGUGGGGAGCAAACAGGAUUAGAUACCCUGGUAGUCCACGCUGUAAACGAUGGGCACUAGGUGUCGCGGGUUUUGACCCCCGCGGUGCCGUAGCAAACGCGUUAAGUGCCCCGCCUGGGGAGUACGGCCGCAAGGCUAAA